AAAAAAAAAAAAAAGAGAAGAGUAGGAUGUCACCUCCUUGUCAUCAUUCAUCAGGGGGCUUUCUUUUCAGUUCUUUUUGGUCUUUCUCUUACUUUCUUUUUUCUCUUUUCUC
RNAcentral lists this non-coding RNA (112 nucleotides) under Lotharella globosa. The record is from RNAcentral. Lineage: Eukaryota; Cercozoa; Chlorarachniophyceae.